Molecule: long non-coding RNA, 589 nt
Filed under: Homo sapiens (human)
Lineage: Eukaryota; Metazoa; Chordata; Mammalia; Primates; Hominidae
Description: non-protein coding lnc-BAZ2B-1:5
Source: RNAcentral
CGGGGACCGAGAGCUGCGGGCGGGCUGGAGGUACCCCACCGCGGGGUGGUGCUCUGACUGCGGGAACCGUUGAAGAGCUGCCCCCGGGGAGUCAGCGAGGCGCCACUGGUCUCUUAGACAUCUUCUCAAGAUUAUGCUAAGAGAAAUGACUGCACCCUUUUCCUGAGCUAUGGCAGUCAGACCUGGCAGUGGUAACUACUCUACAGAACUCCCAAACCUGGCAAGGAUGGUGCAGAUUUUGGCAGAUUAUGGCUUUGUCCCCACCCAGCACUGAUGAUAUUAUAAAAUAUGACACCUUCAAGUAUAAGCAACCAAAGAAAACUAGAUAAAUUGGACCUCAUAAAGUAAAACAAACAAAAACCUUUUGCUUCAAAGGAUACCACUAAGCAAGCGAAAAGACAACACAUAGAAUGUGAGAAAAAGGUUGUAAAUCCUAUAUAUGACAAGGCACCUGUAUCCAGAAUAAAGAACCUCUUAAAACUCAACAAUAAAAACACAAAUAAUCUAAUUGUAAAAUAGCUUACAAUCAUUAUUGUAAAAUUGGCAAAGGAUUUAAAUAGAUAUUUUUCUAAAGAAGAUAUAAAAAUAG